Molecule: ribosomal RNA, 478 nt
Filed under: uncultured bacterium
Lineage: Bacteria
Description: partial 16S ribosomal RNA
Rfam family: Bacterial small subunit ribosomal RNA
Source: RNAcentral
GACGAACGCUGGCGGCGUGCUUAACACAUGCAAGUCGAACGGUAAGGCCCUUCGGGGUACACGAGUGGCGAACGGGUGAGUAACACGUGGGUGAUCUGCCCUGCACUUCGGGAUAAGCCUGGGAAACUGGGUCUAAUACCGGAUAGGACCACUGACUGCAUGGGGGGUGGUGGAAAGCUUUUGCGGUGUGGGAGGGGCCCGCGGCCGAUCAGCUUGUUGGUGGGGUGAUGGCCUACCACGGCGACGACGGGUAGCCGGCCUGAGAGGGUGACCGGCCACACUGGGACUGAGAUACGGCCCAGACUCCUACGGGAGGCAGCAGUGGGGAAUAUUGCACAAUGGGCGCAAGCCUGAUGCAGCGACGCCGCGUGAGGGAUGACGGCCUUCGGGUUGUAAACCUCUUUCAGCACCGACGAAGCGCAAGUGACGGUAGGUGCAGAAGAAGGACCGGCCAACUACGUGCCAGCCGCCGCAGUAA